This is a long non-coding RNA of Clupea harengus (Atlantic herring), 1100 nucleotides long. Lineage: Eukaryota; Metazoa; Chordata; Actinopteri; Clupeiformes; Clupeidae. The record is from Ensembl.
GUCUCUCUCAAAGCCGCUGGUCUGGUCUGUAAGGGUCUCUCUCAUCCCUGCUGGUCUGGUCUGUAAGGGUCUUUCUCAUCCCUGCUGGUCUGGAAGGGUCUCUCUCAUCACGUCUGGUCUAGUCUGUAAGGGUCUCUCUCACCGCUGCUGGUCUGGUCUGUAAGGGUCUCUCUCAUCCCUGCUGGUCUGGUCUGGUCUGUAAGGGUCUCUCUCACUGCUGCUGGUCUGGGCUGGUCUGUAAGGGUCUCUCUCAUCCCUGCUGGUCUGGUCUGUAAGGGUCUCUCUCACCGCUGCUGGUCUGGUCUGUAAGGGUCUCUCUCAAAGCUGCUGGUCUGGUCUGGUCUGUAAGGGUCUCUCUCACCGCUGCUGGUCUGGUCUGGUCUGUAAGGGUCUCUCUCACCGCUGCUGGUCUGGUCUGGUCUGUAAGGGUCUCUCUCACCGCUGCUGGUCUGGUCUGGGCUGGUCUGGUCUGCUCUCUAUCAUCCCUGCUGGUCUGGUCUGGUCUGUAAGGCUCUCUAUCAUCCCUGCUGGUCUGGUCUGGUCUGGAAGGGUCUCUCUCAAAGCUGCUGGUCUGGUCUGGUCUAUAAGGGUCUCUCUCAUCGCUGCUGGUCUGGUCUGUAGGGGUCUCUCUCAUCGCUGCUGGUCUGGUCUGUAAGGGUCUCUCUCAUUGCUGCUGGUCUGGUCUGGUCUGUAAGGGUCUCUCUCAUCCCUGCUGGUCUGGUUUGUAAGGCUCUCUAUCAUCCCUGCUGGUCUGGUCUGGUCUGUAAGGCUCUCUAUCAUCCCUGCUGGUCUGGUCUGGUCUGGAAGGGUCUCUCUCAAAGCUGCUGGUCUGGUCUGGUCUAUAAGGGUCUCUCUCAUCGCUGCUGGUCUGGUCUGUAGGGGUCUCUCUCAUCGCUGCUGGUCUGGUCUGGUCUGUAAGGGUCUCUCUCAUUGCUGCUGGUCUGGUCUGGUCUGUAAGGGUCUUUCUCAUCGCUGCUGGUCUGGUCUGGUUUGGUUUUUGGUUGAGUUUUAUUCUUCCUUUAUUUCUUAACCCCAGAGCUCAAACAGACACAUUUAACAGCAUACACAUUUAACAGCAGACACUGAACUCUUAUAACCAC